This 253-nucleotide ribosomal RNA is filed under the name uncultured bacterium. RNAcentral describes it as "partial 16S ribosomal RNA". It matches the Rfam family "Bacterial small subunit ribosomal RNA", at positions 524 to 776 of the family's 1533-position model. The record is from RNAcentral.
UACGUAGGGGGCAAGCGUUGUCCGGAUUUAUUGGGCGUAAAGAGCGUGUAGGCGGUCAGGUAGGUCCGUUGUGAAAACUCGAGGCUCAACCUCGAGACGCCGAUGGAAACCAUCUGACUAGAGUCCGGAAGAGGCGAGUGGAAUUCCUGGUGUAGCGGUGGAAUGCGCAGAUAUCAGGAGGAACACCGGUGGCGAAGGCGGGUCUCUGGGCCGAUACUGACGCUGAGAAGCGAAAGCGUGGGGAGCGAACAGG